This 483-nucleotide ribosomal RNA is filed under the name uncultured bacterium. Its description in RNAcentral is "partial 16S ribosomal RNA". It matches the Rfam family "Bacterial small subunit ribosomal RNA", at positions 30 to 507 of the family's 1533-position model. The record is from RNAcentral.
AUUGAACGCUGGCGGCAGGCCUAACACAUGCAAGUCGAGCGGAUGAAGGGAGCUUGCUCCUGGAUUCAGCGGCGGACGGGUGAGUAAUGCCUAGGAAUCUGCCUGGUAGUGGGGGAUAACGUCCGGAAACGGGCGCUAAUACCGCAUACGUCCUGAGGGGGAAAGUGGGGGAUCUUCGGACCUCACGCUAUCAGAUGAGCCUAGGUCGGAUUAGCUAGUUGGUGGGGUAAAGGCCUACCAAGGCGACGAUCCGUAACUGGUCUGAGAGGAUGAUCAGUCAACACUGAACUGGGAAAACGUCCAGGACUCUACGGGAGGCAGGAGUGGGGAAUAUUGGACCAUGGGCGGAAGCCCUAUCCAGGCAUGCCGCGUGUGUGAAGAAGGUCUUCGGAUUGUAAAGCACUUUAAGUUGGGAGGAAGGGCAGUAAGUUAAUACCUUGCUGUUUUGACGUUACCAACAGAAUAAGCACCGCUAACUUCGUG